GUGGGUGAGGUAGGGUCGUGUCC
RNAcentral lists this non-coding RNA (23 nucleotides) under Rattus norvegicus (Norway rat). Lineage: Eukaryota; Metazoa; Chordata; Mammalia; Rodentia; Muridae. The record is from RNAcentral.